This 253-nucleotide ribosomal RNA is filed under the name uncultured bacterium. RNAcentral's name for it is "partial 16S ribosomal RNA". It matches the Rfam family "Bacterial small subunit ribosomal RNA", at positions 524 to 776 of the family's 1533-position model. The record is from RNAcentral.
UACGUAGGGUGCAAGCGUUGUCCGGAAUUAUUGGGCGUAAAGAGCUCGUAGGCGGCCUGUCGCGUCGGAUGUGAAAAUCCAAGGCUCAACCUUGGACCUGCAUUCGAUACGGGCAGGCUAGAGUUCGGUAGGGGAGACUGGAAUUCCCGGUGUAGCGGUGAAAUGCGCAGAUAUCGGGAAGAACACCCGUGGCGAAGGCGGCUCUCUGGGACGGUACUGACGCUGAGACGCGAAAGCGUGGGGAGCGAACAGG